This 253-nucleotide ribosomal RNA is filed under the name uncultured bacterium. RNAcentral describes it as "partial 16S ribosomal RNA". It matches the Rfam family "Bacterial small subunit ribosomal RNA", at positions 524 to 776 of the family's 1533-position model. The record is from RNAcentral.
UACAGAGGUCUCAAGCGUUGUUCGGAUUCAUUGGGCGUAAAGGGUGCGUAGGCGGCGCGGUAAGUCGGGUGUGAAAUCUUGGAGCUUAACUCCGAAACUGCAUUCGAUACUGCCGUGCUUGAGGACUGGAGAGGAGACUGGAAUUUACGGUGUAGCGGUGAAAUGCGUAGAUAUCAGGAGGAAUACCGAUGGCGAAGGCAGGUCUCUGGGCUGACACUGACGCUCAUGCACGAAAGCGUGGGGAGCAAACAGG